Non-coding RNA from Camellia sinensis, 563 nucleotides. The record is from RefSeq and is a predicted model, not a curated record. NCBI's taxonomy places the organism in Eukaryota, Viridiplantae, Streptophyta, Magnoliopsida, Ericales, Theaceae.
CCUCCUUUCCCCCCCUUUUGUUUCUCACCAACUCAAAUCUCCAAUCCCUAAUCCCUAAACAAAAAAAAUCCCCAAUUUCAAAAAUCUCCAAAAUACUGUACCAUCUCUCUCUCUCUCUCUCUUUCACUCUCAUGUCUGCAAGCAGCGGCAGUGGCAGCAGCAGCAGCAAGAGGGGACGAUGGCGAGCAGCGAGCGAUGACGGUGAGCAGUGAGUGACGACAGCUAGCAGCAGCAGCGGUGGUGCGGCAUCUCAGAUACCUUUGCCGAUUCAACCCGUCCCUUCGAUUGAGCUAUUAGGGUUUUGCCCCAAAACGAAAACCGACUGAGGCUAAAGGAUCAGCUGUAUCAUCUAUGGCAAUGCAAGGAUCAAGCACAGUUAGUGGGAAUUUAAUUGCUGAUGGAGUUGAGGGCAGAGGUGGCAAAAUUAAAAUUCUGUGAUCUCUAAAUUAGUCAUCAUUGGUGGGUUUUGUCUUUAUUUGUCAUUAAAGUCUUAAAUACAAGGUCCUUAGGUUGUAGCCCUUGUACUUGAAACUCCCAAUUUAUUUGAUCAGUUGAUUUUGCAA